UGGGCUGGGGCUCAGUGGUAGAGCACUUGCCUAGCACACAUGGGCACUGGGUUCGAUCCUCAGCACCACAA
RNAcentral lists this transfer RNA (71 nucleotides) under Ictidomys tridecemlineatus (thirteen-lined ground squirrel). RNAcentral describes it as "Spermophilus tridecemlineatus (thirteen-lined ground squirrel) tRNA". It matches the Rfam family "tRNA". Rfam says of the family: Transfer RNA (tRNA) molecules are approximately 80 nucleotides in length. Their secondary structure includes four short double-helical elements and three loops (D, anti-codon, and T loops). Lineage: Eukaryota; Metazoa; Chordata; Mammalia; Rodentia; Sciuridae. The record is from Rfam by way of RNAcentral.